This is a long non-coding RNA of Odontomachus brunneus, 1048 nucleotides long. RefSeq lists it as uncharacterized. The transcript has 3 exons. Lineage: Eukaryota; Metazoa; Arthropoda; Insecta; Hymenoptera; Formicidae. The record is from RefSeq and is a predicted model, not a curated record.
UCAGUCGCUAUUGUAGUUGUCGAUGCGACAAUCGUGCGGGAUUGUCUCCCACGAGAUUUUUACGAAGAAACCCCCGAAAGAAUUAAUAAUUUUAUCUGUAAAAUCAAGAUUCACUUUGUGACGCGAAUAGUGUGUUUAUAACAGUACACGGCACGUUGGAGUGGCGAGUAGUUAAAGCAAGGAGGAGAGUCAACUCCGAGGUAACUGCCGAUAGGUUACGAGAAGAAACACAGGACGAUGGUCAGCGAUAAAUAAUCUACAAGAAAAGAUCGCAGAAUUAAUUAUCGCGGGCGGAAAGGAGAAGUGUGACGGCGGAUCCUCUGCCAAAGUUCGCCUAUGACGAGGAGCCGCUUGCGAGAUCGCGAGGAGCGUAUUUUUAUCUUCCAUCUUCGGCCAGAAUUUCGACGUGGCGGAGAGAAAAGUGGGUAAAAUUCGACGGCGUCGACGCGACGGCUGCGCGUACAAUUUUCACGGCGCUCACUGGCGCGCGCGACUGCGAGGAUUGCGUGGAAAGGGCGGAACUGCGUGCGACUCGCUGGCAGGUAGUGGUGUCCACACGAGUGUCGGCGUCGGUGCCGAGAUCAACGACAUACGCGCGUACCCCGAGGGCGAAGCAGCGGAGUGCUGAACCGACAAGCCAGGGCCGAAAGGAUGGGAAUGCAGUUAACGCUACGUCAUGUGUUUCCAGGUAUGUCAUAUCGUUUGUCAGGUGAAAUGUUUCCGAUUUUGCUUACUCUGACGAUUCGAUUUGAAAUUUAGAAUUUGUCCUAAAACCGUCGUUCGUAAUUUAAUAAAUAAUCACGACUUUAUGAAUCUGUUGGAUUAGUCGUUAACCUAUAUAUUCUUUUUACACAAGAGAUGACGACUCAAACAGCCGAAAACGGUCCACGAAUACGAAUCUAUAAUUAAAACGUUGACUACCGUGCUGAUUUUCACAGAUUAUUUUACGACUCAAUUAUAAUAUUGCCCGUACACUAAGAAAAAAUAAAUUACACUUUACUGAAAAAAUUUAUUUCUGUGAAAUAAAAUUUGUUUCCGUAAAAAUAAA